Molecule: non-coding RNA, 29 nt
Filed under: Mus musculus (house mouse)
Lineage: Eukaryota; Metazoa; Chordata; Mammalia; Rodentia; Muridae
Source: RNAcentral
UAUUGUGUGAACACAGAUGGUAGCAGAGA